This 253-nucleotide ribosomal RNA is filed under the name uncultured bacterium. Its description in RNAcentral is "partial 16S ribosomal RNA". It matches the Rfam family "Bacterial small subunit ribosomal RNA", at positions 524 to 776 of the family's 1533-position model. The record is from RNAcentral.
UACGAAGGGAGCUAGCGUUGUUCGGAAUCACUGGGCUUAAAGCGUGUGUAGGCGGAAUUGUAAGUACCUUGUGAAAUCCCACGGCUCACCCGUGGAACGGCUGGGCAUACUGGCGAUCUUGGGCCAACUAGGGGCAACUGGAACAAGCGGUGGAGCGGUGAAAUGCGUAGAUAUCGCUUGGAACGCCAAAGGUGAAAACAGGUUGCUGGGGUUGUGCCGACGCUGAGACACGAAAGCCAGGGGAGCAAACGGG